AGUGGGGUGGGGUAGGUUUUUGGAAUAUGAAAUUUAGGAUUCUAAUAAAUAUAUAAAUAAAUACUUAAAAAUAUUUAAAAAAUUCAAAAAAAAUUCAAAAAAAAAUUCAAAAAAAAAUUAUUAAAAAGUUCGAAUUUGAAAAAUUAUAAUUCGAAAACAUAAAAAAAAGUUAUAUUUUUAAUUUUUUAUUUAAAUAAUGAUUUAUUAUAUAUAUAGAGAACAAGAGUAUAAGAGUCUUUUGCCACUUAAUGAAUAAGAAAAUUUUGAAAAUUUUUUUUUA
This 280-nucleotide long non-coding RNA is filed under the name Brassica napus (rape). RNAcentral describes it as "long non-coding RNA (BNAP_LNC020174)". Lineage: Eukaryota; Viridiplantae; Streptophyta; Magnoliopsida; Brassicales; Brassicaceae. The record is from RNAcentral.